UACAGAGACUGCAAGCGUUGUUCGGAUUCACUGGGCGUAAAGGGUGCGCAGGCGGCCAAGUGUGUCAGGUGUGAAAGCUCGAGGCUUAACCUCGAAACUGCGCCUGAAACUAUUUGGCUAGAGUACUGGAGAGGGAAGUGGAAUUCACGGUGUAGCAGUGAAAUGCGUAGAUAUCGUGAGGAACACCAAUGGCGAAGGCAGCUCGCUGGGACGUUACUGACGCUGAGACGCGAAAGCGUGGGGAGCAAACAGG
This 253-nucleotide ribosomal RNA is filed under the name uncultured bacterium. Its description in RNAcentral is "partial 16S ribosomal RNA". It matches the Rfam family "Bacterial small subunit ribosomal RNA", at positions 524 to 776 of the family's 1533-position model. The record is from RNAcentral.